Molecule: ribosomal RNA, 253 nt
Filed under: uncultured bacterium
Lineage: Bacteria
Description: partial 16S ribosomal RNA
Rfam family: Bacterial small subunit ribosomal RNA
Source: RNAcentral
GACAGAGGGUGCAAACGUUGUUCGGAAUUACUGGGCGUAAAGCGCGUGUAGGCGGCCCUGCAAGUCGGAUGUGAAAUCCCACGGCUCAACCGGGGAAGUGCAUCCGAAACUGGCAGGCUAGAGUACGAAAGAGGGUCGCGGAAUUCCCGGUGUAGAGGUGAAAUUCGUAGAUAUCGGGAGGAACACCGGUGGCGAAGGCGGCGACCUGGGUCGAUACUGACGCUGAGGUGCGAAAGCGUGGGGAGCAAACAGG